GCCCUAGUGCUGGAACUGGUAGACAGGCAUGAUUCAGGAUCAUGUGCCUUAAAAGGCGUGGGAGUUCGAAUCUCCCCUAGGGCA
This 84-nucleotide transfer RNA is filed under the name Candidatus Dadabacteria bacterium. RNAcentral describes it as "tRNA-Leu". It matches the Rfam family "tRNA". Rfam says of the family: Transfer RNA (tRNA) molecules are approximately 80 nucleotides in length. Their secondary structure includes four short double-helical elements and three loops (D, anti-codon, and T loops). Lineage: Bacteria; Pseudomonadati; Thermodesulfobacteriota; Candidatus Dadabacteria. The record is from RNAcentral.